GACGAACGCUGGCGGCGUGCUUAACACAUGCAAGUCGAACGGAAAGGCCUGCUUUCCCUUGUGGAUUGCGGGUACUCGAGUGGCGAACGGGUGAGUAACACGUGAGUGAUCUGCCCCCAACUUGGGUAUAAGCCUGGGAAACUGGGUCUAAUUCCCGAUAGGACUGCAGGGUGGUGCCUGUGGUGGAAAACGAUUUUCUAGUGGUUGGGGAUGAGCUCGCGGCCUAUCAGCUUGUUGGUGGGGUAAUGGCCUACCAAGGCGGCGACGGGUAGCCGGCCUGAGAGGGUGGACGGCCACAUUGGGACUGAGAUACGGCCCAGACUCCUACGGGAGGCAGCAGUGGGGAAUAUUGCACAAUGGGCGGAAGCCUGAUGCAGCGACGCCGCGUGGAGGAUGACGGCCUUUGGGUUGUAAACUCCUUUCGACCGCGAGGAAGCCACCUGGUUGGAAGGGUGGUGACGGUAGUGGUAGAAGAAGCACCGGCUAACUACGUG
RNAcentral lists this ribosomal RNA (494 nucleotides) under uncultured bacterium. RNAcentral describes it as "partial 16S ribosomal RNA". It matches the Rfam family "Bacterial small subunit ribosomal RNA", at positions 28 to 507 of the family's 1533-position model. The record is from RNAcentral.